RNAcentral lists this ribosomal RNA (253 nucleotides) under uncultured bacterium. RNAcentral describes it as "partial 16S ribosomal RNA". It matches the Rfam family "Bacterial small subunit ribosomal RNA", at positions 524 to 776 of the family's 1533-position model. The record is from RNAcentral.
UACGGAGGGUGCGAGCGUUGUUCGGAAUUACUGGGCGUAAAGGGCGCGUAGGCGGCCAACUAAGUCAGACGUGAAAUCCCUCGGCUCAACCGGGGAACUGCGUCUGAUACUGGAUGGCUUGAAUUCGGGAGAGGGAUGCGGAAUUCCAGGUGUAGCGGUGAAAUGCGUAGAUAUCAGGAGGAACACCAAUUGCGAAGGCAGCUCGCUGGGACGUUACUGACGCUGAGACGCGAAAGCGUGGGGAGCAAACAGG